CCUGGCCGCGUCUCCAUGGCUACGGCGGACGCGGUGCAGGCCGCUGGUACCUGCCGACUAGAAAGGCUCAGGCGGCAGCCGGGAUCCAGACUGGGGCGGGAUCAUGUCGGACCUGGGCUCGGAAGAGUUGGAGGAGGAGGGAGAGAAUGAUCUUGGGGAAUACGAAGGGGAGCGGAACGAGGCCGGUGAGCGGCAUGGACACGGGAAAGCGAGACUGCCCAAUGGGGACACGUAUGAAGGGAAAUACGAACAUGGUAAAAGACACGGCCAGGGGACCUACAAAUUUAAAAGUGGUGCGUGGUACGUUGGAGAAUAUGUUAAAAAUAAAAAACAUGGUCAAGGCACUUUUAUCUAUCCAGACGGAUCAAGAUAUGAAGGGGAGUGGGCGGACGACCUGAGGCAUGGCCACGGCGUGUACUACUACGUCAACAAUGACAGCUACACCGGGGAGUGGUUUGCUCACCAAAGGCACGGGCAAGGCACCUACUUCUACGCGGAGACGGGCAGCAAGUACGUGGGUACCUGGGUGAACGGCCAGCAGAAGGGCACGGCCGAGCUCAUCCACCUGAACCACAGGUACCAGGGCAAGUUCUUGAACAAAAAUCCCGUUGGCCCUGGAAAGUACGUGUUUGAUAUUGGCUGUGAACAGCACGGGGAAUAUCGCUUAACAGACGUGGAAAGAGGAGAAGAGGAAGAGGAGGAGGAGACACUGGUAACUGUCGUUCCAAAAUGGAAAGUGACCAAAAUCACAGAAUUGGCCUUGUGGACCCCGACCCUCCCCCAGGAGCAGCCUGCUGCAGAUGGACCAGGCCAGGGGGAGGCCCCAGGAGCUGAGGGCGGGGGAGAGCCGGCCGAGGAGGUCCAGCCUCUGACCGACGUGUCAGAGGGGGAAUUAGAUUCAAUGCAGCCCGGAGAGGAGGAGGGAGACACCAGCAGGGAGGACGGAGAGGAGUUCCGCUAUGACAGCUUAGACCAGGGAAACAUUAGUUUCGAAGAAGAGGAAGUCAGACAGCCAGAACUGCUGGAUUAAGAUGAAGCAAAAGCCAGAAUGAUUGAAGGUUUGGGGCAACCCUGUGUCAAGCAAGUCUACUGGCACCAUCUUUCCAAGAGCAUUUGCUCACUUCACGUCUCUGGGUCACAUUUUGCAUGAUAAGCUCUAGGUCCAUCCGUUGCUACAAAUGGCAUGAUUUCAUUCUUUUCUUAUGGCUGAGUGAUAGUUCCGGUGAUCAGUGAUCUCUGACGUGACUAUUGCCACUGUUUUGGGACACCAUGAGCUGCACCCAUGUAAGACGGCCAACUAAAUGGAUCAAUGUUGUGUGUGUUCUGACUGCUCCACUGACCAGCUUUCGUCCCAUCCCUCCCUCUCUUUGGGCCUCCCUGUUCCCUGAGGCACAACAAUAUUGAAAUUAGGCCAUUUAAUAACCCUACAAUGGCCUUUAAGUGUUCAAGAGAAAUAAGAGUCACAUGUCUCUCACUUUAAAUCAAAAGCUAGAAAUGAUGACGCUUAGUGAGGAAGGCAUGUUGAAAGCUGAGACAGGCCAAAAGCUAGAUCUCUUGCACCAAACAGCCAAGUGGUGGAUGCAAAGGAAAAGUUCUUGGAGGAGAUGAAAAGUGCUGCCCCAGUGAACACACGAAUGAUGAGAAAGCGAAACAGCUUUAUUGCCGGUAUGGAGAAAGUUUUACUCGUCUGGAUAGAAGAUCAAACCAGCCACAAUAUUCUCUUAAGCCAGAGCCUAAUCUAGAGCCAGGCCCUAACUCUCUUCCAUUCUGUGAAGGCUAAAAGAGGUGAGCAAGCUGCAGAAGAAAAGUCUGAAGCCAGCAGAGGUUGGUUCAUGAGGUUUAAGGAAGAAGCCGUCUCCUAACAUAGAAGUAGGAGAUAAAGCAGCAAGUGCUGAUGUGGAAGCUGCAGCAGGUUAUCCAGAAGGUCUAGCUAAGUAAUCAAUGAAGGCGGCUACAUCUGUUAUCCAGCGUAGACAGAACAGCCUGCAUUGGAAGAAGAUGCCAUCUAGGAGUUUCAUACUAGAGAGGAGAAGUCAGUGACUGGCUUCAAAGCUUCAGAGGACAGGCUGACUCUCUCGUUAGGGGCUAAUGCAGUUAGUGACUUGCAGUUGAAGCCAUUGCUCGUUUGACAUUCUGAAAAUCCUAGGACCCUUAAGAAUUAUGCUAAAUCUACUCUGUCUGUGCUCUGUAAAUGCAACGACAAAACCUGGAUGACAGCACACCUGUUUACAACAUGGGUUACCGAAGAUUUUAAGCCCACUGUUGAGACCUGCUGCUCAGAGAAAAAGAUUCCUUUCAAAAUAUUACUGCUCAUUGACAAGGCACCUGGUCACCCGAGAGCUCUGAUGGAGAUGGACAAUGAGAUGAGUGUUGUUUUCAUGACUACUAACACAACAGCCAUUCUUCAGUCCAUGGAUUAAGGAGUAAUUUCAGCUUUCAAGUCUUAUUAUUUAAGAAAUACAUUUCGGAAGGCUGUAGUUGCCAUAGAUGCUAGUUCCUCUGAUAGAUCUGGGCAAAGGAAAUCGCAAACCUUCUGGAAAGGGUUCACCAUCUUAGAUGCCAUUAAUAACAUUCGUGAUUCAUGGGAAGAGGUCAGAGCAUCAGUAUUAACAAGAGUUUGGAAGAAGUUGAUUCCAGCCCUCAUGGAUGACUUUGAGGAGUUCAAGACCUCAGUGGACGAAGUAACUGCAGAUGUGGUGGAAACAGCAAGAGAAGUAGAAUUAGAAGUGGAGCCUGAAGAUGGGACUGAAUUGCUGCAAUUUCAUGAUAGAACUUAAUCAGUCGAGGAGUUGCUUCUUAUGGAUGAGCAAAGAAAGUGGUUCCUUGAGAUGGAAUCUUACUCCUGGUGAAGAUACUGUGGAGACCGUUGAAACGACAACAAAGGAUUUAGAAUGUGACAUAAACUUGGCUGAUAAGGCAGCUGCAGGAUUUGAGAGGACUGACUCCAACUUUGAAAGAAGUUCUACUGCGGGCAAAAUGCUAUCACACAGCACUGCUGCUACAGAGAAAUCACUCGUGAAAGGAAGAGUCAACUGACGUGGCAGACGUCAUUGGCGUCUUACUUUAAAAACUGCCACAGCUGCUCCAAAUUUCAGCUGCCACCACCCCGAUCAGCCAGCAGCCAUCAACAUCCAAGCAAGACCCUCCACCAGCAACAAGAUUUUGACUCGUGGAAGGCUCAGAUGACGGUUAGCAAUAAAAUAUUUUAAAAUUAGGCCUGGAGCCUGUACUCCUUCUCCACUCCCACAUCUAUGGUGCUGGACUCACCAGACAAGUUCAGACUGAGACUUGACCUUUGACCCCACGCCCUGGGGUGUCAGAAGCCUGGUUCUGGAGGCCAGACAUUCAAAACUGAGGUCUCGGCAGGGCCGUGCUCCCUCAGAGGCCCCGGAGGAGGAUCCUUCCUGCCGUUUCAGCUUCUGGUGGCUCCCAUGUCCCUUGACUCGUGGCCACGUCACCGCGUCGAUGCCUCCUUUUACAUCUGUAUCAAACCUCCCUCUGUCUCUCUUACAAGGACAUGUGUGAUUAGGUUUAGGGCUCUCCUGGAUGAUCCAGGAUAAUCUCAAAAUCUUUAAUCACAUCGGCAGAGAUCCUUUUUCCGAAUGAGGUAACAUUCAUAGGUUCCAGGGAUUAGGACCUGCUAUCUUUGGGGCCACCAUUCAGCCCACUACAAUUACGGUUUAAAAAAAUGGUUUUUCUAACUACUGUUCCUUCUGCAUUUAUCAGGCUGUAAAAUAUGCGUUUAUUUGGUUCCCAUGAAAUACAGUCCUCCUGGGAAGCCAGGGUAAAUACUUAAUUCCUUCCUUUGAAU
Balaenoptera ricei (Rice's whale) is the source of this 3811-nucleotide RNA transcript. It is a transcript of the gene named radial spoke head component 1, with no coding region annotated. Lineage: Eukaryota; Metazoa; Chordata; Mammalia; Artiodactyla; Balaenopteridae. The record is from RefSeq and is a predicted model, not a curated record. The transcript is spliced from 13 exons.